GACAUAUAAGUUGGCUUAUGUUACGGCCAUAAGAGUGGAUAUUUAUGUAUCGUAUGUUU
RNAcentral lists this transfer RNA (59 nucleotides) under Echinococcus canadensis. RNAcentral describes it as "tRNA-Arg". RNAcentral also lists the same sequence under 2 other names. The record is from RNAcentral. Lineage: Eukaryota; Metazoa; Platyhelminthes; Cestoda; Cyclophyllidea; Taeniidae.